Molecule: non-coding RNA, 82 nt
Organism: Ascosphaera atra
Lineage: Eukaryota; Fungi; Ascomycota; Eurotiomycetes; Onygenales; Ascosphaeraceae
Source: the annotation of a GenBank genome assembly
GGACUUGUGGCUCAACCGGCAAGGCGCUUGACUACAAUUCAUCGCGAUCAAAAGACUCUGGGUUCAGAUCCCAGCGGGUUUU